AGGAGGAAGGUAGUGUAGUUAACACCUGCAUUAUUUGACGUUACCUACAGAAGAAGACACCGGCUAACUCCGUGCCAGCAGCCGCGGUAAUACGGGAGGGUGCGAGCGUUAAUACGGAAUUACGUGGGACGUAAAGCGCAUGCAGGCGGCCUGUUAAGUCAGAUGUAGAAACGGCCCGGGGACCGUUUAACCCGUACGGUAAAGUUGCUAUUUAGUAAACGUGGCGAGGCUAGAGUCUUGUAGAGGGGGGUAGGAAUUUCAGGUGUAGCGGUGAAAUGCGUAGAGAUCUGAAGGAAUACCAGUGGCGAAGGCGGCCCCCUGGACAAAGACUGACGCUCAGAUGCGAAAGCGUGGGGAGCAAACAGGAUUAGAUACCCUGGUAG
RNAcentral lists this ribosomal RNA (383 nucleotides) under uncultured bacterium. RNAcentral describes it as "bacterial SSU rRNA". It matches the Rfam family "Bacterial small subunit ribosomal RNA", at positions 438 to 793 of the family's 1533-position model. The record is from RNAcentral.